This 695-nucleotide ribosomal RNA is filed under the name uncultured Devosia sp. Its description in RNAcentral is "bacterial SSU rRNA". It matches the Rfam family "Bacterial small subunit ribosomal RNA", at positions 94 to 824 of the family's 1533-position model. Lineage: Bacteria; Pseudomonadati; Pseudomonadota; Alphaproteobacteria; Hyphomicrobiales; Devosiaceae. The record is from RNAcentral.
AGUGGCAGACGGGUGAGUAACGCGUGGGAACCUACCCAGUUCUACGGAACAACUGAGGGAAACUUCAGCUAAUACCGUAUACGCCCUACGGGGGUAAGAUUUAUCGGAAUUGGAUGGGCCCGCGUUGGAUUAGCUAGUUGGUGGGGUAAUGGCCUACCAAGGCGACGAUCCAUAGCUGGUCUGAGAGGAUGAUCAGCCACACUGGGACUGAGACACGGCCCACACUCCUACGGGAGGCAGCAGUGGGGAAUAUUGGACAAUGGGCGCAAGCCUGAUCCAGCCAUGCCGCGUGAGUGAUGAAGGCCUUAGGGUUGUAAAGCUCUUUCAGUGGGGACGAUAAUGACGGUACCCACAGAAGAAGCCCCGGCUAACUUCGUGCCAGCAGCCGCGGUAAUACGAAGGGGGCUAGCGUUGUUCGGAUUUACUGGGCGUAAAGCGCACGUAGGCGGAUUGUUAAGUGAGGGGUGAAAUCCCAGGGCUCAACCCUGGAACUGCCUUCCAUACUGGCAAUCUAGAGUCCGGAAGAGGUGAGUGGAACUCCUAGUGUAGAGGUGGAAUUCGUAGAUAUUAGGAAGAACACCAGUGGCGAAGGCGGCCCACUGGUCCGGUGCUGACGCUGAGGCGCGAAAGUGUGGGGAGCAAACAGGAUUAGAUACCCUGGUAGUCCACGCCGUAAACGAUGGAUGCCAGCUGUC